UAUUCUGAAAUAUACUGGACUCGACCACACCAGACGUUUGAAGAUUUGGAAAGAAAAUACCGGAAGAACCUCAGCCUCCUAUUUGAUGAAAACAGUAAAUAAUGUAAUCCUGGACACGUAGGAACAAUUCAGGACUUUCUGGAGCAGGAAUAUGAGGUUUUCAUCGAAGAGAGUGUCAACACACCCUACCUGUACUUUGGCAAUGUGGAUGACCACCUUUCCAUAGCUCAUGGAGGACAUGGACCUUUACAUCAACUACCAUCACUUCAGAGAGCCCCUAUAUUGGUACGCAGUGCCCCAAAACCAUAGUUGGCACCUGGAAUGCUCAGUCAGGGAGCUUUUCCAGGUAGUUCUCAGGGUUAUGAGGCCUUCCUGUGGCACUAGAUGGCCCUCAUCGUGCCCACCGUGCUCAUGCAGAAUGGGAUUCCCUUCAAUAGCAUGAGUCAGGAGGCUGGAGAGUUCACAGUGACAUUUCCCUAUGACUACAACACAGGCUUCAACUGCAAAGAGGCCAUCAAUUUAACCACCCAGGAUGGGUAGAUUAUGGCAAUAUGGCCCCUCAGUGUAGCUGUGGGGAGGACAGGGUGGCCUUUUCCAUGGACGCCUUCAUGCACAUCAUGAAACCUGAUCAUUAUGACCUAUGGAAAAGCUAGCAAGAUGGGGCCAUUGUGGAUCAAAGGGAGCCCAGGGUGCUGGCCAGCCAGGAGCUCAUUACCUGGCAGGAGGACAUUGUACCCGGACUGAAGCUCCCCUGGACCUGACUUCUUCUAGGCCUGUGGUCCUGGAUGGUGGGACCUACCACUGAGCCCAUAUGUACAGUUGCAGUUUCCCUGGUUCCCCGUGGCAGCCCAGGAAACUGAUGCCCAUCCAAAGGUCAUUGACCCCAGAGGCUCCCAAGAACACACCGUGGCCCACCAUCUAUCUUGGGUCUGUUUGCCCUGGUUCUCUGCCUGUCAACUGGAAGAGGUGGUCAUGGUGGUCUUCUUCAGGAACUAGGAGCUCAGGAGGGGAUCCUCUAGUCUCCCACCAAGUGGCACAGCACACAGAGCUCUUGAUCCUGGGGCUUUGCCCCUACUUGGGAUGGAACUUUGAUAGACAAGCCUGUAUCUCUCAUGCCUGCAUCUCAGUAUCCCAUCAAGGCUUCCAGGAGCUGCAGUGCCC
Molecule: long non-coding RNA, 1161 nt
Filed under: Homo sapiens (human)
Lineage: Eukaryota; Metazoa; Chordata; Mammalia; Primates; Hominidae
Description: non-protein coding lnc-KDM4F-1:1
Source: RNAcentral